This is a long non-coding RNA of Populus euphratica (Euphrates poplar), 2080 nucleotides long. RefSeq lists it as uncharacterized. The record is from RefSeq and is a predicted model, not a curated record. The transcript has 3 exons. Lineage: Eukaryota; Viridiplantae; Streptophyta; Magnoliopsida; Malpighiales; Salicaceae.
CUGUCAGUAACGGUGUUAAGAUUAAAAUCAAAUCCCAAAAUUAGGAAAAACAGAACGACACCCUCUCUACGGAGGGGAAAGAAAAAGAAACGAGAAGACCCUGACUCCUCUCUCUCUCGACUUCCGUUGACGGUUUCUUCUUCUCUCACACUUUCAACUUUCCAGAGAAUUAGCUCGUACUGUAACCCAAGGAGCUUGCAUUGAUGCUUAUAAUUCAAGAUUUCGGAUUGGAUUGUGAUGAUCGGGGUAAGAAGGCUUGUUUUUCGAUAGCAAGAAGUGAGUGAGGGAGUGACUCUGGCAUCUGCAUUGUUGGCGUGGCGAGCGAGGUGGCCUAGAAGAAAGCUGAAGUGACGUGCUGGUGCAAAUGUCAAAGUUUCCCUCCUCCAAACCAGAAGAAUAUGCAUCCUCAUCUGCUUCUGAGACUAAGUUAGUAUCCUUCUCUCAAGUUAAGUUAGCUCAUAAACUCUACAUCACUCUGCUAAUAUUUUAGCCACGGGUUAACUUUCUAUUCCCUUCCUGCUAUGAGAAACACAUUGCCAUAACUGUGUUGAUACUGAGCCAAAAAGAAAGGCAAGUGAGAUGAAGUUCAAAACAAUCUAAUUUAAAGAAUAUAUCAUUGUGUUAACUGCUCUAACCUGUAGUUCUUGAGAAUUAAAUACUAAUUAAUUAUGUGCUAAUGGAUUGGCUGAUUACAUGUAGGGAAUCAGAUGGAGCACCCGAAAUGGAUGGCCCUGAAGAUACAAUUGCUGCAGUUGCUCGAUUCUUUGAAAAGCUGCAUUCCAGGAUAACUUCACAACCUGAAAAGGAACUUGUAACAGCUUGCCUGCUUCGCCUUGCCAAAGCAAGAAAGGAGACAAGGACAGUCAUUGGUUCUCAUGCCCAAGCAAUGCCAUUAUUCAUAUGCCUUCUCAGGAGUGGUACUUCUGAAGCAAAAGUUAAUGUUGCUGCGACUCUCAGUGCUGUGCAAAGAUGAUGGUUUACGAGUGAAGGUACUUCUUGGUGGGUGCAUACCACCUUUACUUUCACUUCUGAAGUUAAAUCAGUUGAGGCUAGGAAGGUUGCAGCAGAAACUAUAUAUGAAGUGUCCUCUGCCUCGGUCUCUGAUGAUCAAGUCAGUAUCAAGAUUUGCCACAGGUGUGACACCGACCUUAUGGGAACAGCUUAAUCCAAAGAACAAGCAGGACAAAGUGGUUCGAGGGUUUGUUACUGGGGCACUGAGAAAUCUUUGCAGGCACAAGGAUAAUUAUUGGAGAGCAACGCUUGAGGCUGGAGGAGUGGAUAUCAUCGUGGGUCUUCUCUCUUCUGACAAUGCCGCUGCCAAGUCCAAUGCAGCUUCUCUAUUUUGCCCGUCUAAUGUUGGCAUUUGGUGAUAGUAUAACAAAAGUAAUUGAUUCUGGAGCUGUGCAAGCUUUGCUUCAGCUUGUGGAUCAGAAUAAUGAUUUUCUGUUCGUGCUAGUGCUGCUGAUGCUUUGGAAGCUCUUUCCUUAAACUCCACAAAGGCCAAGAAAGCUAUUGUAGAUGCCGGUGGUGUUCCCAUUCUCGCUGGUGCCAUAGUUGCUCCUUCUAAAGAGUGUAUGCACGGGGAGUUUGGCCAGGCUCUGCAGGGGCUUGCGACAUGAGCUCUAGCAAAUAUCUGUGGCGGGAUAUCUGCCUUGUUAUUAUAUCUUGGAGAACUAUCACAGCCUCCUCUUCUUGCUGCUCCAUUUGUUGAUAUCACCGGAUCACUUGCCGAUGCUUUGAUGGUCUUUGAGCAAAAUGCUGGUGCUGAUGAGGAAAGUUUUGAUGCAACCAAAAUAGAGGAUUUACCAGGAAAGCUUCAGGAGCCACAUUAAUAAGCUCUUUCAGGAACGUGUCCUUGAGGAUAUGGCAAGCCUGCGUGGCAAUAUCUACCUCUCAAGAUGUCUUGAUCAUGCAGAAGCAAAGAAGGUCCUUGUUAGGCUCGUAACAAUGGCUGCUGGGGAUCCACAGGAGUGUCUAAUACUUACUUUGACCGGCCUAUGCUGUGACAGGGUAGGCAUCUGGGAUGCCUUUGGCAAGAGAGAAGGAUUCAGUUGCUAAUAUCAUUACUGGGAUUAUCCAG